GUCUAUGGCCAUACUACCCUGAACACGCCCCAUCUGGUCUGAUCUCGGAAGGUAGGCAGGCUUGGGCCUGGUUAGUACUUGGAUGGGAGAAAAGUAAGAAUGUCUUUGUAC
Molecule: ribosomal RNA, 111 nt
Filed under: Meriones unguiculatus (Mongolian gerbil)
Lineage: Eukaryota; Metazoa; Chordata; Mammalia; Rodentia; Muridae
Source: RNAcentral